GAAAGUUCAGUCGUUAGUAAUCUCCCAGAAAUUAAGUCUAUUACAGUGUACAAUCCCCAUAUUUCAAAAGUCAAAAACCAAGCAAAUCCACGGAUAACGCUUUUUACAACCUUGCAGUAUGUGGGCAGGACCUAGAUUCCUCUAUACAAAUCCAAAAACAAACGAGGCCUCGUUAUCAUCUUUUAAUUUUGCCACGUACAAUUCAGCUAACGUUGAUUUCCAAUGCCCACACCAAUCAAUACUGUGCCCCCAUGCCAGGGACCAAGGAUGAUGGUUCUCGUUGGGUUUUGAGUUGAAUGUUAGGUUUGAGAGAAGAGUGGAUAGAGUAUCAUGCAUGCUUAUUCUAAACCCCAACAAACUUGUUAGGUUUUUCUACUUGCUAGUCCACGGUUUUCAUCCUUUCAAGAAUCCUUUAUCAUUAAGCUUUCUGUUUCCUUCUUUCCUCGCUACUCCUUUAUCAUAUGCAUUCUUGGCUCUCUACAUUCAUAGUUUUUCUAGUGAAAAGUAAUUAGAAAGAGGGAGAUGCCGCCAGGUUGGGGACCGCCACCCGGAGGACCAGGGUUCUGUGGCUGCUGUGAUUUUCUCUGUAAUGGCAUAUGCAGGAUUGUAUCUUCUUGUUUUUAUUUCUUGUGCUGCUGCUGCAUCCUAGAGAGCUGUUGCGGACCAUUGUUUGGUGGUCCAGGUGGCCCACCCGGGCCUCCUCCUCCGGGACCUCCUCGGUUCUGAUCAGCAUGUUUGCCGAAUUUUAUUUGCAUAUCGUUGUGAAUUGUGAUUGCAUUAGCAAGAUCAACAUAUAUAUGUAAUUUUGCGUAACUUUUAUUCCACUGCUAAAGAAUCAUGUGUUCACCUUUAGGCAAAGCUACCACACCAAGCCUUCGUGAGCAAUGGUGGCAAAAAGGAAAGCUUAACAGCUCAUUUCCUUAUUGAUAUCAUUGUUAAAUUUUACUAUCUAAUAACGUUUACUUGAAAAUUUGAAAGCAUUAAGAAUCU
This is a long non-coding RNA of Manihot esculenta (cassava), 990 nucleotides long. RefSeq lists it as uncharacterized. Lineage: Eukaryota; Viridiplantae; Streptophyta; Magnoliopsida; Malpighiales; Euphorbiaceae. The transcript is spliced from 2 exons. The record is from RefSeq and is a predicted model, not a curated record.